UCAGUUUAACCAGACCUACUAUGUAAGGGCAGAGCCAGCCGGAGCCUCAGUAGAGGGUGUAGAAGCCCCCGACACCCCACAUCCCAGAAACCCACGGCAAGAUUAGAGAAUUGUCGCACAUCUGGAAAGAUUAGUUUAAUCUAGAUAGUAAAAGAAGGAAUCGAAAAGGCAUGCUAGGAGUUUUGGUCAGUAAACCAUGCCAGGGACUGUACUCUCCAAAGCAGUGAUGGGGGCAUGAUCAGGAUGUGUUUCUGUGCACGAAGACCCUUCUUACUGUCUUCUUAGGAUGGUGAGAUGACUUCUUCCUCAGGCUAGCAGGAUUAUUUUUCCCCACCAUAACUCACUAGCACAUGGCUCCUAAAGCUUUGACAUUAACUCUAGCGGUUUGGAAAUGUGCCUGGAUCAUUAUACUGAAGGCUCCUCUUAUUUAUGUAACCUUUCAGAGUUCACAGAGGGCUACACACAGCACCUCAUGAAUAAAGGCAUCAUUAUCUCC
RNAcentral lists this long non-coding RNA (496 nucleotides) under Mus pahari (shrew mouse). Its description in RNAcentral is "lncRNA (MGP_PahariEiJ_G0004530.1)". The record is from RNAcentral. Lineage: Eukaryota; Metazoa; Chordata; Mammalia; Rodentia; Muridae.